Molecule: non-coding RNA, 236 nt
Organism: Penaeus vannamei (Pacific white shrimp)
Lineage: Eukaryota; Metazoa; Arthropoda; Malacostraca; Decapoda; Penaeidae
Source: RefSeq, a predicted model, not a curated record
UUUUUUAUGGAGGCGAUGAUGCAGGUUGAUGACAAUGGCAGGUUGGCGAUGACCGAUGACAAGUUGACAGGUUGAUGACAAUUAAUGGCAGGUUGAUGGCAACUAAUGACAGGUUGCUGACAGCUAAUGGCAGGUUGACAGGUUGAUGGCAUCUAAUGGCAGAUUGAUGACAAUUAACGACUGAUGACAGAUUGACAGGUUGAUGACAAUUAAUGGCAGGUUGGCGAUGACUGAUG